RNAcentral lists this long non-coding RNA (703 nucleotides) under Equus asinus (donkey). Its description in RNAcentral is "lncRNA (ENSEASG00005036914.1)". Lineage: Eukaryota; Metazoa; Chordata; Mammalia; Perissodactyla; Equidae. The record is from RNAcentral.
GGCGAGAAGCCGAGGAGCGAGGGUGCGGGAAGGAAGGGAAAAGGAACGGGAGAAGGGAACGGAAGUGAGUGACGGCAGGAGGGGACGUGAGGACGGGAGAAAGGAGGCGAAGGGAGGAGAGGUGGCGAUGGGGUGAAAGAGGAGGAGGUGAGGAGCAAGAGAGGCACUGAGGGUGUGCGCGUGGAGGUGAUGCGGGAGGAGAAGAGGAGGAAGGAGAGGAGUUCGGAGGAGAGGAAGGAAAGAAGGGAAAAGAAGAUUGGAGAGAAGAGAACCGGAUCCGCCAUGCCUGUCACAGGACACACACACCUUCCACGCAACCCUCCUGUCACCACAGUCGAGCCACCUCCCGGCCGUCUGGCUCAGUGCACUUCUGUGUAUCGAGUGCCACAUCUGUGCUCGGUGCUGGUAGGAACCACCCUGAGGGCACUUCCCCCUGGAGCCAGCGGAUCCGUCUAUUUUCAUAAACCUGGACUGCCUCGCAGUGCAGUGCACAGGGCAGGAGGUAUUUGGGGGCGUCUGACGGGAAGAACAGAGAUGGCCAGUGUCACACAGCCGCAAAUGUGUGUAAGAAGACAGAUAUUCUGGCCCCAGGGCACCUUCCACUCCAUCCCACUGCCACUGACAUCACACCACCUGGUGAUGUCCCCAAGCACGUCCUUUCACACUGCCCACCUCCCCCGAGGGGAGCCGUGGUGCUGCCAGG